GAUGGCGACCGGCGCACGGGUGAGUAACACGUAUCCAACCUGCCGAUAACUCGGGGAUAGCCUUUCGAAAGAAAGAUUAAUACCCGAUGGCAUAAUAGAACCGCAUGGUUUGAUUAUUAAAGAAUUUCGGUUAUCGAUGGGGAUGCGUUCCAUUAGGCAGUUGGUGGGGUAACGGCCCACCAGACCUUCGAUGGAUAGGGGUUCUGAGAGGAAGGUCCCCCACAUUGGAACUGAGACACGGUCCAAACUCCUACGGGAGGCAGCAUG
This 267-nucleotide ribosomal RNA is filed under the name uncultured bacterium. RNAcentral describes it as "partial 16S ribosomal RNA". It matches the Rfam family "Bacterial small subunit ribosomal RNA", at positions 87 to 353 of the family's 1533-position model. The record is from RNAcentral.